AAUAAGAGGAAGCAAUUCUCUCUGAAUCUGCGAACGGCUCCGCAAACCAGUUGUAAACUAUAGCAAGUUCGCCCGGGCUCCCCCUUCACGGGGGGGGUUCGGGCUAUACGGAUAACCCUGGUAAUUCUGAGGCUAAUACGAGAACGUACUCCCUGGCUGACCGGGCAACUGGAAGGCUGGGGGACGUGCGAGUGUUUUCGCGAUGUAUACCGGGAAAGGACGCACGUCUUGACCGCGCUCCAAAGGAACUGGUCUUGCCUCCGGGCUUGGCUGGCUCUAGCGGCUCUUGCUGUGUGCUUCUGACCUAUCAACUAGAUGGCAGCCUAAGGGACAUGCUAUGGUUACAACGGGUACAGAGGAUUAGGGUUUGAUCCUGGAGAGUGGGCCUGAGAGAUUGCUCAUACUUCUAAGGAAGGCAGCAGGCGCGCAACGUUCCCAUUGGACAAUGUCCGAGGGCGUUAGGGGACAUAUGAAUGCCUGCCCAUUGGGUGGGCAAUUCAAAUGGGUCUGUUUUAAAUAGGCUCUCGAGUAACAAUUAGAGGACAAGUCUGGUGCCAGCACCCGCGGUAAUUCCAGCUCUAAUAGCAUACGUUAAAGUUGUUGCGGUUAAAACGCUCGUAGUCGGCUUCAGAUCGUCAGAAGGUUGAGCUGGGAGCCUGGGUCUGUGCCCUUCGGGGCGCGCUGGGGGACUGGCGAGGCUGGGCGGCGGUCAAGUGUACGUCUGGCCGUACCCUCGGGUUCACAGGGGUCGUUCCUUCGGGGGCGGCUCCGGCUGGGCGUGCCAUUUACCAUAACCAAACUGAUGUGAUCAAAGCGGGCCAUUCGGUCUUGCACAGCACAGUAUGGCAUAAGGUACACCGGCUUAUCCCCUUAGCGGAGGGGGGUAGGUUGGUAGAAGCGAUAGGGAUGUUCGAGGGUGACCGAAUUGCCGGGCGAGUGGUGAAAUACGUUGACCCUGGCAAGUCGACCAAAGGCGAAAGCAGUCAUCAAGGGCAUGCCCGUUGAUCAAGAGCGAAAGUUAAGGGUUCGAAGACGAUCAGAUACCGUCGUAGUCUUAACUAUAAAUGAUACUGACCAGGGAUAGGACUCUGUCCAUCUCGACUCCUCCUGGACCUUAGGGAAACCAAAGUCUUUGAGUUCUGGGGGGAGUAUGGUCGCAAGGCUGAAACUUAAAGGAAUUGACGGAAGGGCACACAAAGAGUGGAACCUGCGGCUUAAUUUGACUCAACACGGGAAAACUCACCAGGUCCUGAUACGCGUAUGAAAGACAAGCUGAAAGACUUUUCUCAAUGACGUAAGUGGUGGUGCAUGGUCGUUCUUAGUUCGUGGAGUGAUUUGUCUGGUCUAUUCCGAUAACGAGCGAGACCCCAACGAUCCUACUAGGGGCGGCAGCCCGGCUCGCACCUCGGUGCUUGCUAGCAGCCGCCUACUAUGCUUCUUAGACGUAUCAGAGCCGAUAAGGCUCUUGAAACGGGUCAAUAACAGGUCAGUCAUGCCCUUAGAUGUUCUGGGCCGCACGCGCGUUACAAUGGUAUUGUAAACACGUGCUCUCACGGGCGUUCCCGCGGCCGGCAGGUCGCGGUAACCCCUAGUCAUUCCCUUGACUGGGACAGACUAUUGCAAUUAUUGGUCUCUAACGAGGAAUUUUUAGUAGGCGCGGGUCAUUAACCCGUGCCGAAUGAGUCCCUGCCCUUUGUACACACCGCCCGUCGCUGCUACCGAUUGGAUUUUGCGGUUACGAGUUCCGAGGCCGUGGCUUCGUGCCCUUCACGGGGUGCUGGCUGUGGCCAAAGUUCUAAUUACCGCACGGUCUAGAGGAAGCAGAAGUCGUAACAAGGUAAUCGUAGGUGAACCUGCAGAA
Molecule: ribosomal RNA, 1861 nt
Filed under: Hyperamoeba sp. ATCC PRA-39
Lineage: Eukaryota; Evosea; Eumycetozoa
Description: SSU rRNA
Rfam family: Eukaryotic small subunit ribosomal RNA
Source: RNAcentral